UUUGCUUCCUCUGGAAAUAAUUUUGAAAUUGCAAGAUUGGAACAGUCCUCAAUUUCUGAACAUCUGCAGCAGGAUACAAUAGAUAUAGGUUACAAAAGAUGUUUGUAAGUUCCAAAAAUACGUAUCUGAUAUAUUGGUGGAAUGUUCACAUUAAUAUUAAGAACAGGAAAAUAAAAGGCACAUAGCAAUACAUACUAUUGGGUGUUUGUUACCCCCACUUUCAGAUACUGUAGGAAAUAACUACAUUUGAAUAAAUACUUCAGCCUGUUUCCAUGACCCUAUCCCUAAACUGAUACGCUUCAGUAUUAUGAAAUUGGGACUUAGGUCAUUGUAUUGUGAGGUCACAAAGCCAUAUAAGAUAUAGGAGAAAAAAUUGACACUUACUGGGUGGGCAGAGCAACAUUGUUUUGACAGUGAAAUUUACCAAUUUAUAAUUUUUUAAGAAAAGCAUGCCUAGCACAGACCACCUGAUUACCAAGAGGAAGCUGAAGAGGAGAUUCUACUAGAGAGAUGCAAAUGAAUAAUUCUGGUGUUACUGUGGGGAAGAAAAGAAGAACCUGUGUGUGACUCAUACAAGAAAAUCUGUUAUUCAAGAAUAAAUAUCGCAGCAGUAAUAAUAAAGGUCAGCGCUCCCAUCUCACCCGUGGAAGUCAAUGAGAGAUACACACAGGUGGUUGAGGACAGGCUGUUAGUCCUCAGUGAGUGGUGAAUCUUGUUGGUCAAGUGAAUUGCCCUCAUUUUUCUGUUAGAGGUUGUGGACUAUUUUUCUUUACAAGGGAAGCACUUUAUUUAUUUAUUUAUUUAUUCAUUCAUUUACUUAUUUAUUUAUUUUGAGGGUAGAGCGUGUCAUUGAAAGGUACCUGACCCAAAAAGAUAAGUCUAUCUAAUGUGCUUGCUUACUGAAGCACAAACUUAAGCUCUCUCCUCCUAUGAUUAUGAGAGUUCUUGGCCAUUUCUACCCAUCAGCUCACAUUCCUGACAUCAGCAGAAGUUCACUGAUGCUUCAAUGACCUAGACAAGAGCAGUAAUUUUCUGCCCUGUGCAGUCUCUCAAAGGUUAAAAAUUCUAAUUGCUACUAAGGAUUUCCUGCCAAAAGAGAUGUUUAAAAUCCUUAUUGGAAGAUCCACUUCACCGUGCACAGAGGAAGUGUAUUCGUGCACAGAGGAAGUAUUCAUUCAUUCUGUGAAACAUAAACACUCACCCCUCCAGAUUAGCCCGUGGUACAUUUGUUCUUGGGAAGUUCGAUGUGGAUGAAUCUUGUGAGACAGGGAAGCCAUGUAUGCUGUCCUGGGUGUUCUGUCUCAGGACUUUCUUCUGCUGACCAGGGCACUGCUAUUCCAUCAUCUAGCAUGCUGCUACAGCUGCAGAAGGCAGACAGAGAUCUGAUACAUUCAGGGCACCCACAUAUAUGAGGAAAAUGGAUGAAAGAUCAAAGAACACCCUCCCAUCACCACUCUUCCAGCAUCACCAACAUAGGAUGCCAUCUUAUUUGAAUAUCGACUAGGGCUUGUGUAAUUGUAGCUCAUAAAGCAGGAUCUUUUCCAUAGAUACAUAUUUUUCAUAAGGUAUAUUUCUUCAGAAUUUCUAGAUUUGAAUGAUAUAGCUGUGGCUAUUCUGUUAUUAUUAGAAACUUAAUCCAAUCAUUCUUUAUUAAAAAAAGAUUUCCAUAGCAACACAGACACAAAACAAAUUUCCUGGGUAGAUAUUAUAAUUUGUUUCAGAUAAUAUAGAAAUUCUAUUGGAGUCAUUAUUUUAAAAUUACAAUUAUUAUACAGACUUUUUAAUCAUAGCAUUAAUAUUAACAGUUUUAAAAUGAAUUCAUGCCAAAAAUACAAUUUUAUAUCUUUCUAUUAGACAUAAGAGACAACAGACUUGUAUCUACAUAAGUAAAAUUAAAUCAGAUGGUGAUUUUUAAUGAAAUGUGUGUUUUUCUCCUAAUCUUUUUCUUUUGGAGCAGUAGGGCUUUUUGUUUUGUUUUGUUUUUAAUUUUACAAAAUUGACCUAUUAUUACCCCAAGUAUUUUCUUGAUAACUUCUAAUUCCAGAGCAAUUUUGCUGUUCUUUAAAGACAAUUAAUCAGAAUAGAUUUUAACAUUGUACAACACUCUAAACUUGUUUCCAGAGGAAGAAAUAUUCUUUGCAUAUCAAAAAAAUUUUAACCUAAAAUGUGAUUAGCAAAAGCAUGGAUUAAUUGUGUUUCCACUGAUGUAAAGAAAUCUUCAUUGAACAUUCCAGCCGAUCAGCCACUGGAUUAGUGCAUAGGAUAAAUGCAUCCACGGAUGUUAACUGACGUCCUACAUGUUCUCAGUAGAGUGUGUCAGAUUCUGUUGGUAUUUGCUCCACUAAACAUAGGGUUGGGGUUUUUUGAUAAUAAAGUUUGGGGUGAAAGUCUUGAGACAGCCUAAGCUCAUGAGGAAGCAAAAAUGUAAUCUGAUUAGCAGGAUUUGUAUCUAUGCAUGGUAAAUUAUAGAAGAUUGUGGUCUUUCCAUGACUAAUGCCCUAGAAAAGCUUCACAGAUGAAAACUUUGAUCGUUAACACGGAUACUCUUUCAUCUCUAAAACAGCUUAGUAUAUUACCUACCACAACUUUUCAACUUUUUAAUUUCUAGGCAAGUAAAACAUUAAAAUGCAUAUUAACUAAACUUCAAACAGGUUUUUUUUAGAUGUCACCUGAAAAUCUUUUUGGAUUACUCAUUUCCAGUUAUCAUAUCCUAGUCUGCAGGGGCUUAUUAAAGAAGGAUUUAAAUGUAAUAGGCACCAAUGAGUUGGCAGAAAUAGAACACAGAAAACUAGUCACAUGAUCACAGGAUCGUGAAGUCUCUUGAUCCAGAAAUUAUGUAACUGUACUGAACACAAAAUAGCAAACUAUUGUGGCACUUUUAUUAAUUUGAAUAUGAUUCAAAAUUUUUUAAAAAAUUUUUAUAUGUUCAACUAAUAUCUCAAAUAACAUGAAAAUACAUUGUGGUUUUUCUAAUCUUAGGAAUCCACUGAAAUUUCCUCUUAAGAAAAUUUAGAUAUUCAAAACAAUACACUUGAAGAUUUAGCAUUGAUUGUAUCAUAUUCUGUUUUUAGAAUACAAUUAGCUUGAGGUUAAAGUUAAAUAUUAUAACAUUGCAAUUCUCAAAAAGAAAAUGGAGAUGUUUAGAUUUGCAUUACUCACUCUUACUUCAGCACCUCUUUUAUACUUAGUACAUAAAACUCUCCAAAUGUAAUAUAAAAGUUUUAAUUUCAGUUAACAUUUAAAAAUCAAAGUAAUUAUUGUUAUUGCAGAAAAGAAUCUGCAUAUUAUGGUAGUAAUUUUUAAGGUUUUCAACUCCUCAGGACUUUUCAAUGAUUUUGCUGUCAUAGUAUCUGUAUGUGUGUUGGUCUUUCGUAUAUAUUUUUAAAUUGCGUUAAUAUAGACAUUUAUAAGUUAAGCUUUACAAUAGCAAAAAUGAACUAAAUCACCUGUAAGUAUGUCCCUUAUCUAAUUUCUGUGUUUUUGUAUCUGAAAAGAAAAUACCUAGACAGAUGACUAAUUUGCAUAUAUUAAAUAGGAAAUACAGUGGCACUUAAAUUCUGAUUAGACAAUGUGUAUCUUUUUUAUUUUAAUAUGUUUCCACAAUAUAUACUAGAGAAAGCCUGUUUUUAAGUAUGUCCCAGAACUGCUAAGUUCAACCUUAUAGGAUUCUCGUGAGUAUCACUGAAAUAACUACAUGUAAAGUGCUUCAAUUCAGUGCCCAGCAACCAGAGCCCAGUAGGCAUGGCCACUAUUAUUUGUAUUAAAUAUUUUAAUCAACAUAGAUGAAGUGGACAUGAAAAUUAUGUGAUUAAUUUGUUCACUGUAGAACCCAAAAUCAAAUUUAGCAACUGAGAAAAUACUUCAAUUAUUAAUAUUAAAGUCCAGAUGAAUCUGGUAAAAAUCUCCCAAUAAGAUGACAACGUUUGUUUCUAACCAGCAAAUAAGAACAUGGACUCUGAUUUUAGAUCAAGAAAAUGCAGCAUGUAUUCUCAAAAUAAUCACAGAUAAUCUUCUAAGCAGGUAACUCCAAAAUCCCUGAGGAGGCAUUGUGUUCCUUUCUUCACUUGGUCUCCUCUGCAUGCAGUGACAGGGGAGAAAUCAGAUACUGGGCUGGAGGAUCACACCAACUUCAAGCCACCAAGGUCAAGGAGGCAACAUCAGGCACCUUGGAAGCAGAUCAAUCCUUGGCAAAACUGAAUUUCGUUUUAGCUAGAGCACCUUUUUAUCUUUUACCUCAUACUACACCAGUGGGUUCAUAGGCCCCCCCCCUCUUAUUUGCUCAAGACCCUGCUGUCUGCCAAGGCCCCCAGCCAAGAUAAGAAAAGAGGGCCUGUGUCCUACACUCAGCCCCUACUGCUGUUCAUUUUAAACUGCUUUGCAAACCUAUCAGUGCUCUAUAGAAGUUACCUCUCAGAGUCUCCCUUGGAUUGCUUUUCAGCUACCAGUAAAAUAAUUUAUGAUAAGUUCUUCUUUGAUGAGAACAGUUUGCUGUGCUUCCCAGCAUAACUGGUAUUCUGAAGACCUGUGUGGAAUGGGGAAAAGAACAUUAGAACCUAGGGAGUACCACAUGUUCCUGUCAUUGUGAAACUGAUAGACUCUUGGAAGCAAGGGUGUGCCUUUGUUUACCCAGCAAAACCCAGCGCAGGGUCUGGCAAAAUGUAGACAGACUCUCAAUUGGAGUGAGCCUCUUGGGUUCAAGAGUAAGUACUUCUGGUUGAAAGUUUGAAGUAUGAUAUCCUCCAUACUUGCCUUAUUCCCCCUGGACUGGUCUCAGGAUUACCAUGGAAACACACACAUCAAUCAAAGAUCCACAAUGAGUAAAACAACCCCGCCCAGCCACAGAGACUGCCAGUUGACUUGUGGGAGAAGUGAAGGAAUGUUAAAAGUUCUUUUUCUUUUUCUUCUUCUUCCAGAGUGGUGAGAUUUUGAAACUGAAUGGUGCUCAUGUCUGGAGGUGUUUUAUACAUUGUUUUUUUGUUUAGCUCAUUCAUGAAAAAAAAAAAGACAAGCAUUGGAUACAAAAAGUGCAAUAUUGAGUAAAAAUAACAUGCUUGGCUGGUG
This is a long non-coding RNA of Pan troglodytes (chimpanzee), 5061 nucleotides long. RefSeq lists it as uncharacterized. The transcript has 2 exons. The record is from RefSeq and is a predicted model, not a curated record. Lineage: Eukaryota; Metazoa; Chordata; Mammalia; Primates; Hominidae.